GAUGAACGCUGGCGGCGUGCCUAAUACAUGCAAGUCGAGCGAACAGACGAGGAGCUUGCUCCUCUGACGUUAGCGGCGGACGGGUGAGUAACACGUGGAUAACCUACCUAUAAGACUGGGAUAACUUCGGGAAACCGGAGCUAAUACCGGAUAAUAUAUUGAAUCGCAUGGUUCAAUAGUGAAAGACGGUUUUGCUGUCACUUAUAGAUGGAUCCGCGCCGCAUUAGCUAGUUGGUAAGGUAAUGGAUUACGAAGGCGCUGAUGCGUAGCCGACCCGAGAGGGUGAUCGGCCGCACUGGAACUGGAACACGGUCCAGACUCCUACAGGAGGCAGCAGUAGGGAACCUUGCGCAAUGAGCGAAGGCCUGACGGAGCCGCGCCGCGUGAUGGAUAAAGGUCUUCGGAUCGUAAAACUCUGUUAUUAGGGAAGAACAAGUGUGUACGUAACUAUGCACGUCUUGACGGUACCUACUCAGAAAGCCACGGCUAACUACAUG
This 497-nucleotide ribosomal RNA is filed under the name uncultured bacterium. RNAcentral's name for it is "partial 16S ribosomal RNA". It matches the Rfam family "Bacterial small subunit ribosomal RNA", at positions 28 to 507 of the family's 1533-position model. The record is from RNAcentral.